GUUUAAACAGCUUUGGGUGGACAAAGUGUUGUCAGUUGGAGGAGAGCUUUCAGCAGUGCUGAACCAUGUGGCCCCCUAUUAACCCUCAGGGUAUUUCUCUGUAGGGAGAGAAGGCAAACCCCAGGUUGGUGCAGCCCCAAGUGCCCAGCCAAGACAGAAGAGCUUUCUUCUCACUGCUUUGAAUGCUGCUGUGGAGUACUGUGAUGUUUCCUGGGAGUGGCUCUCAGGAGACCCCAAGCUUUAAAUCCCCCGUUGCCUCCAUCUCUGCCAAAGCCCCCGUGUGCUCCUGGGCUUUUUUGCUCAGCUGAGUUUUCACAAAGGUUUGGCUCAAUUCCCUGCAAACCAGCCUUCCCCCAGGCAUCCACCAGGCCUUAGGGAGAGGCUCUGCUUCGUUUCUUCACACCACGCCUUUUAAUCUACAGCCAGAGCAGGAACCAAAGUGGAAAAACACAGCAAUUGCACAGGGGCCGCUGCAGCAGGUGCCUGCGGGAGCCUGUUCCUAUGAGCCCUCGGGCACUGGGAUUUGCAGAUUUAGGCAAUUCUGGGCUCUUGGAUGCUCUUUGUGGAGAAGUUUGUGAACGUGGGAGUGUUUGUGUGAACUCCAACCCUUCCUCAGAGCUGGGCUGUCAGUCAGCAGCGCUGGCAUCAAAUGUGCAUCCCCACAUCAAAGCCCUGCUGACUUCCGAUGAAGGGAAACAAGGGAAAACAGAUUCUUGGUGCGUGUUGUUUAUUUUAACGUGUUUUUAGUGUUUGAUUGAUUUCUUUUCCAGCAGCAAGCCUGAGGGGGGGAUGGUUUGCUUUAUCAGGAAAUGAGGAUAAACUUACCCAAGCAAGCUCAGGCUAUGCAGGCAGGUGCUGUCUCCAUGCUAACUGUCCCCAAGCAAAGGCUGAGGCUGGGGUCAAGCCCUAGGGCUGCACUCUGCUGCCAUCACAGAGACAUAGAAUACCCUGAGUGGAAAGGGAGCCAUAAGGAUCACAAAGUCCAACCCCUGGCUCCAUACAGAACCAGCCAAAGCUCAGACCCUAUCUGAGAGCAGUGUCCAAAAGCUUCCUGAGCUCCAGCAGCUCAGUGCCGUGACCACUGACCUGUUCCACACCUACUGCCCUCCCUCUGAAGAGCCCUUUCCCAGUAGCCAACCUGAGACCUCCCUACGCAGCUCCACGCCAUUCCCUCAGGUCCCAUCAUUGCCACCAGAGAGCAGAGAUCAGUGCUGCCCCACAUUUUGAAAAGCACAGCCUAUACCCUGCCUUUAUGGAGAAAGAAGGCAGAGCUGCUUGCUCUGUGUGUUUGAAACUGGAGCAUUACUGAAUGGCUCACAGAGCAUCUGCAGUCCCUCCACGCUGUUACAGCUCCUCUUUGUUCAUGAACCAUUUACACAUCACUUCUGAUUCCUGUAGACAUUUACAACCAUUAGUUCCAAUAUAAAAUAAUCAGCUUCCGUGAUCCCACAAUGGGGCUGUCCUGUACAAUGCAGGGCAAAAACUGAAAUGUGAGGGCAUUAUAGCAGUGCCAGCCCUUUCUGAAUAGCAGGAGGAAAACAACCCAGAGGCUCUAUAUCUGAUUUCCCUUCCAUGAGGAUCCAGGUGCAUAUUUUCUGCACAUCUCAGUGUCCCAGCAGCAUUACUCACUGCUCCUGUUGGCAUCACAGGCAGCUGAGAGCAGUGGCUCCCAUGCCCUUGUCGCUCAGCUGCUGUCGAGGCUCAGAGUCACAGUUAAGCACAGAGCCUCCAAUUAGUCACAAAAAGUGAAACAGUCUUUCAGGAGAAUUAAGUUGGUGCAAAGGAGUGAAUCACAGCAGAGAUAAUAUCCAGGGCAACUUUAACUGAAAAGAGAUAGUGGAGGAGAGUAAAUCACUCCCUGAGCACAGCCAGGCUGAAUUGAUCACAGCUGCUAUACGAUGCAGGGUGGCAAUAACAACUAUUCCAGGGCUGUGCUCUGUGCCUGAUGGAGAAAAUCUGGGGCAGGGCGCUGGGCAGGAAGGGAGCUGCUGGAACCAAGGAACACAGCCAUGUGGAGGAGGCCAGAGAGGUGUCCUCACCCCGAGGGAACCCCACUUCUCAUCUCUCAGGUUUCAUUCUCAGAGGACAUCAGCCCUGGCACAUGGCAAUCCACCCAAGCUCAAAGCUACGUUCUUUUCUUAUAAGUGCUUAGGAAAGAGGGUCUUCAGUCAAUAGUGAUAAAGUUGGAGUGUUUUGUGUGUGUGUAUAUACACAAACCUCAAUGCUGGCAUCAGUUAUUUAUCUUACAGAAUUCACAGAAUCACAGAAUAUCCUAAGCUAGAAGGGACCCAUAAGGAUCAUUGAGUCCAACUCCUUGAAGAGUGCAUUAAAUUCAAAAGAUGCCCAUUCUGCCAGCCCUUUUGCUUUCCUUUUUUCCCAUGGAUUAUGUUGAUAAGGACUACAGAGCCUGAAUUCUACAUUUGGAGAGAGGCUUUCCCAAAGAUCUUAGAGGUGGGAAAAAGAGAAUAAGAAGUGGCUGGAGGGUGAAGAGUUAAGGAACCCGUAGCUUGAGCUGCUCUCGAGGGAGACAGGAAAGCUGUAGAGAUUUGGCACUACAUGCAGAUCCCAAAAAUUAGAUCAUAGCACAUAAUUAUCCUCCAAACUGGUCCCGGUGCCAAAAUCUUAAUAUCUGGGAUUGUUAUAAUUUGAAGUCAUGUAGGAAAUCCAGAGUUCCAAUCAAUUGCAUUCCCAUGCCCAGUCGCUCCCUGUCCUUGCCCGUUUUACAAUAAAACAUACCUGGCAUUGUGUGCAGAGUGAGUAACGAUUCCUGUGCAGAAAGGGAAGAGAGAGAAACACGGAGAACUCUCCCAGGCACUGCAGGCAGCGGGCAGGCAGUGCUGGCACGAUGCGGCCGUGACUCAGCCCUGCGUUCCUCUGCCAGUGGCCGCUGCCUCUUCCACCCCAUCCUGCUCCUUUCGGGACACAGUUUGCAACGUGCAUGCAAAAUCUGCUGCAGUUCUUAUUAGCUCAGCUUGUGUCUUUCUGUCAGGAUGCACCCGGCUCUUCUAAAAUCUCAGCACUUGCACAGGGCUGAAUUCAGUGCAGCCGUUCCUAAAAAAAAAAGGUCGCUGCACAAUGUCCCACAGACUCUCAGGAAUCCAACCAGAAGAGAACGUGAACUUUGCAUCACAGUGCCAGGGGGACAACAAUGCUUUCUUUGGGCAAUAAGUGGGAGCAGGAUGGGGUCCAUCACCCCUGGGAUGGCACAGGGAGCAGGCACAAGGCUUGUUCCAGCACUAAGCACUACACUUCCCUACAUGCACGCACACAGUUCGGCAUGCCACCACCCCAAUGAGCAGCUCUGCAGGCUGGUGGCACCAAACCAGCUUUUCUAUAGCAGCGAGCUGGGGGUGGAAGAUGUUCUGCAGGCAGAGGUGCUGUUAUCUGUGAAUUGGGUGCUGCUAGGAAUAGGAAGCUCAGCCAAGGACGAGCUACCAGAGCUUCUAGUGAGGAAAACAGCAGUGCAGGGGCAGCUGAGCCUGCAGUGAUGAAGGGCAGGACAUGCCUUGCGAUCUGGGCUUUUUUUUUCCCACUUCCUGUUUAUAGGUUGACUGCAUUUCCCCAGCGUUUGAACUUCUCCGUCACGCUGUUUCUCUGCUGCUGCUGACACUGAGUGAGAAUUAAUAAGCUUCCUCUGAGCAAAUAUCUUUAUUUAAACAAGCUGCUGCCCUGCCAGCAGCCCGCUGGUGAAUGGCAUUUUGCAGCAGGCAGGAUGUGGGCAGAGCUCCCCAGCAGCACCAGCAAUGAUCCCAGGUGCUCUCAGCAUUGCAAUAGAAGCACCUGUGCUGAAGGAGUAUUUGCAGGGUUGCUUUCUUUUUUUUCCUCCUUUCCAUCGAAGGAGGCUGAACAUGACUGAGGAUCUGGCUCCAGUCUCUGGUACUACACAGUUGACCUCAAGCCUGGUGAAUUCUUCCAAAAACCCGGCCUGCCUUGCCCCCCAGCCCCAGUCUUCCAACUGUCGUGAGCAGUGGAGCAAGGAGGUGGCAGCUGUGUUUUUGGCUUUUCCUGCAUUGAAUUAUACUGCAGUGAUCUCCAAACAAGACAUUUCUCAAUCAGACGUGAAAUGUUUGUUUUCCUGUUCAAAAAAUUAAUCUGCUGCCCGUGGUAUGCAUGGCAUCUUGCAUAUUUCUCUCCCUACUCACUGUCAAGUGACUUGAUAAUUCCAACAGAAACUGCCACAAAAGCUGGAAGUCAGAUGGUCUGCAACUUAAUUAAUCAAUCAGUUUACUAUAUUAGCAAACUUAAAGGAAUUCUGAUGCGGACCCAAUGCUUAAAUCUGCUGCGACAUCUGCAGUCAAUCAUGCUUACAUUACCCAUUAACAAAUUACAUCUGUGCUAAGCAAGAUACCCUGUGGUUCCACCAUGCAGAGAGCUGGAGGACCACGGGCACCAGGACGAGCAAGGCACAAAGGAGAGAGGUUACAGCAGAACAGGUCAUGUACAGCCCUGUGGUUUCUGCAGGCUCCGCUCCUGCUCGGAUGCCGGUAGCUUUCCAUUCCCACCGCCUGGAGCCGCUUCUCCAAAGUCUGACUAAACGUGUGUGUGUGUAAGGGGAAAUGAUUAACUCUGACCAUCUAUAGAAUGAAAUUCUUCCUACUUAAAGGUACUCCUGACAAAGCUGACUGGGAAGAAUUGCUAUGGUGGUUUCAAAUAGAGCAUACUGCACUUUUUCCAAAAACUUCUUUGAUAUUUUUUGUGAAGAGUAAAGAGUGGUUUCUGCAAAGGAAUAUCUGCCAUCUCGCUGCAAAUAAUCAUUGGAUUAUGGUUUUAAUUCUAAAAACAUACAUACCCACAGUUGCCCCACUGAAAAUAAAAUCCUUUUUAUCAAUUGAAUAUGCUGGACCUGAAAACAAGGUGACAGUCCUUAACAACAAGGCUCAGACCAUUAAGUUUUUGUUCUCUUUUGUCUCAAAAAAGGUAUUCAGGACUCGGACAUUCAUGUAAAAUGUCCUCCUAGCUCUCCACCCCCACCGGAGAUUUUAAACAAACGUUAAAGAAGGAAAGGAAUAGCAUAAGCAAAUUUCAAGGGACAGGAUGAAUUACAACCCAUCUGUAGUUUUUUUCCCAUUCUGCUGACAAUCUACACUGAACUCUGUCUGCGUUGUUGUGCAGAAAUGUGCCGGUGGAUUCUUGCUGAAGUUAUCCAUAGUCAUCUGAGCAGCCCAUAGGGCACUGCUGUCACAGUGACUGCCUCCAAGGCCACAGCAAAGCAGCCCUGUGCCAGUGGGGCCAAAGCUGUAGCAAAAACUAAACCCCAGAUGCUGGCUUUUCCUUUUCCUGAGUCACUGCUGUGCCCAUGCCAUCACCCUGCAGCUCUCUACAGGUGCCUGGGGAAUAUUCAGGGAAGGGCACAACACCAGUUGAACAAGAUGCUUUCCCAGUUUUGCCCCAUUGGAUGCACUGCAAGUCACCCCAGAGCCUUGAGUGAUGCCAUUCCGAGGCACAUGCAGAGCAAGUCCCUUUCUUCCUGUAAACAGAAAGAGAUGUUUUCAGUUUACAUGCUUCCAGUUUACAUUGCAUGGAAGGCUUAUGUAAGUAACAGGGGAAAAGAAAAAAACUUAAUGAAUUCAUAACAGCCCGGCUAGGCACGGCCUCCAGAGCUAAACCUGUCAGGAUCUGGCCCAAGGAGGAUGCUCACUGGGAGACCUGACAAGCAAGACUGCGGAACUACAAGGAUUUAUUGUACACCAAAAUAAUUCCUAUGCUCACUGAGCAAAGCUGCUGCCACAGAGUAACUGCUUUCAAAAGUAUUUUCCAUCAUGAUCUCCAAGUCCCUUUUCUUGCCCAGAUUCCAUCACAACAAACAGCCCAAGGAUUUAUAUGCCUCUCGCUUACCUUGUGAUGACAGCCUGACACACGGGUUGCACAGAGGGAGGAGAGGAAGGGUUCAGCUCUCCUGUGCCCAAGCCAGGCUGAGGGCUGAGGGCAGAGGUCCUGGAAUGGGGCUUGCUGCUGUCCUGGGUCUGCUGGCUCUGCUCUAAGAGCAGAGAAAGGUGAGAAAUAUCAACACCAAACUACCUAGAUCUUUUUCAAGCACAAUAGGAAGCACUUGAAGAAGUGUCACAUCACUCACUUGUAGCAAAUGGUAAACUUACGCACUUUAGAAAGAGAAGAUGUAGGGUAAUGAUGGGGACGUUUGAGGUCCUCAUUCUGUUUUCAUGUGCAUAUGCCCAAAACAGACAAAAUAUCAUCUCCAGAUAAAAGAGAGAUUUGUUGUCUCAGCAGUUCCUGAUCUGCUGCUCAGUGGUAGAAGCAGCUUAGCCAAAACCAUCACCAUCUUGCUGAUGUGCAUACUUACAGACAAAGAGAGAAUUCAUCUUACACAGCUCCAAGGUGUCCAAGUGUUGGCUGAUGAAUCCUGGGCUUGUGCAUGGCCUUCCUUUAUUUUUUGUGAAGAACAACAGGCACCUCCAGAAUUUCCUUCUGACCAACAGUACAUAAGGAUGAGACCAAACUGCACCUUCAACUCUAUGAUUGUUUUGGUUCCCUUCCAACUUGGGAUGUUCUAUGAUUCCAAUGGGCUGCAAAGGGCUGCUGGGUAAUGAGCCAGACUGUGUCAGCACCGUAUCUGCAGGAGUAUAGUAAUAAUGCAAGAAAAUUGUAUUAAUUGUAUUGUCAUAGCAAUCGAAAUUCCCAAAUAGCAUCUCUGUGCCACAGCCCAUCCAUGUAUCUCCUCCUGCUGAUAAAGACAGCAUGGAAAUGAGAGGAGGGACUAUCAAGAAAGGUGUCUGUGAUAAGCAGCACUCAAAAAUUGCAAAUGCAAUAGAAAGAGAAAGACGUGGCUGUACUAAAGAUCAGGGGAUAAAUGACAGUGGGUGUAGUGAGUGCUGAAGACUGUGGAAGAUACAAAGGCACAAAAAGAAAAGCAGAGAGCCUGCCUCGUGCUGGGAUCUCAGCUCACCCCACUGCACGGAGGAGCAGGUGCAGAGGAAGAUGUGGGGCAAACAGGGUGGUGGAGAAGAAUCAGAAAUAGCUUUGUUUAGGCUCGGAAAAGGAGGGAAAGGCUUGGAAAAGGAUUGCUUUCUAUAAAUAACCGAUGUAACCCCUCAGGGAAGGGAGAUAGUUAUUUAAGCUGAAGGACAAUGUUGGCCUGGAAUCAAACUGGUUGUGAGUAAAUAGAGGGGGGAAACAUGAAGCAGGUUUCUGAGCAUCACAGGAAAGAUGUUCUGAAACAACUUUCCAGGCGCAGCAGGAACCUGAGCGCUUCUAAAUCCGCUGGAGCAGGAAAUGGAUCUCCGUGCCAAGAUAUCUUUGCCAAUGGCAAAUUUUACCCUGCCUCAGAAAAUCAGACUGGAUGAAAUCCUGAGAGAUAGCUGAUAGCUUGAUAGCUUGACCGAAGACAGGUCUGCUCCUUCUGAUGGGAAGAGGGCUGUGCCCUGUAAAUAGCCACAUGUGACAUCCGAUGGCUUCUUUGUCCUUCGCUGUCCCAGUUAUUGCAGCAUUUUGUUGUUAGGACAGGCAUUUUUCCCCUUUAUCUUCCCUCUAUGUCCCUUUCCAUUGCUGGGCUGCUGGCAGCUGAUGGACCACUGUGGGACGGGUGGGAUGCUGGGGCCUGGGAAACAAAUGCCUGGAGAAACCUUGGUCAACAAAGUCUAUGGAAACAAAACAAAAACAAGACCAGUAACACUGUUUUGAACGUUGCUGUUUAGUAAACGUGGAAACUGAGGAAACUGGGCUCUACGUUCCUUUCCUUUGAUUAGCCUUUUUUUACAGGACAGUCUACAGAGGAAUUGGUGAUACAGGAAAAGGCCACAUUCCCACAAAAACUGCAGUGCACACAUUCCAGCAGCAG
This 7792-nucleotide long non-coding RNA is filed under the name Gallus gallus (chicken). RNAcentral describes it as "lncRNA (ENSGALG00010030076.1)". The record is from RNAcentral. Lineage: Eukaryota; Metazoa; Chordata; Aves; Galliformes; Phasianidae.